AGGCUCAGCAGGCCCCACGCUGCUGGCCGCCGCUGCCACCCCUGUCUCCCGCGCUGCCCGCGGCUGUGGGGACGCCAUGCCCCUACCCAGGCCCGGAGACUAACCCCAAACCCGCACCAUCUCCGGCGGACCCCAGGGAUCCGCCCCAGCCCAACAGGUCAACCUGGGAAUCAUUAACAAGAGUCUCUGACAUGGCGAAGAAGGAGGAUGGGGAACCUGGGACUCACAGAGGCAGUUUCACGUGUCCAAGACCCCAGCCAGGAAAGGGU
This is a long non-coding RNA of Peromyscus eremicus (cactus mouse), 269 nucleotides long. RefSeq lists it as uncharacterized. The transcript is spliced from 3 exons. The record is from RefSeq and is a predicted model, not a curated record. NCBI's taxonomy places the organism in Eukaryota, Metazoa, Chordata, Mammalia, Rodentia, Cricetidae.